Molecule: ribosomal RNA, 332 nt
Filed under: uncultured eukaryote
Lineage: Eukaryota
Description: partial 18S ribosomal RNA
Rfam family: Eukaryotic small subunit ribosomal RNA
Source: RNAcentral
CCCUUAGAUGUUCUGGGCUGCACACGUGCUACACUGGCAGGUUCAGCGAGCUUCAUGCCCUGAUCUGAAAGGAAUGGGAAAUCUUUUCAAAACCUGCCGUGCUUGGGAUAGAUGUUUGCAAUUAUUCAUCUUCAACGAGGAUUGCCUUGUAAGCGCACGUCAUCAGCGUGCAUUGAAUACGACCCUGUAUUCUGUACACACCGCCCGUCGCUCCUACCGAUUGAAGUUUUCGGUGAGUUGACAGGAGGAUUUUUUUGAAACUGGUUCGCCAGUGGAUUUUGGAUCCAAAUGCCAACGAAUCGAUGGCUUUAGAGGAAGGAGAAGUCGUAACA